AUUGAACGCUGGCGGCAGGCCUAACACAUGCAAGUCGAGCGGAUGAAGGGAGCUUGCUCCUGGAUUCAGCGGCGGACGGGUGAGUAAUGCCUAGGAAUCUGCCUGGUAGUGGGGGAUAACGUCCGGAAACGGGCGCUAAUACCGCAUACGUCCUGAGGGAGAAAGUGGGGGAUCUUCGGACCUCACGCUAUCAGAUGAGCCUAGGUCGGAUUAGCUAGUUGGUGGGGUAAAGGCCUACCAAGGCGACGAUCCGUAACUGGUCUGAAAGGAUGAUCAGUCACACUGGAACUGAGACACGGUCCAGACUCCUACGGGAGGCAGCAGUGGGGAAUAUUGGACAAUGGGCGAAAGCCUGAUCCAGCCAUGCCGCGUGUGUGAAGAAGGUCUUCGGAUUGUAAAGCACUUUAAGUUUGGAGGAAGGGCAGUAAGUUAAUACCUUGCUGUUUUGACGUUACCAACAGAAUAAGCACCGGCUAACUUCGUG
RNAcentral lists this ribosomal RNA (484 nucleotides) under uncultured bacterium. Its description in RNAcentral is "partial 16S ribosomal RNA". It matches the Rfam family "Bacterial small subunit ribosomal RNA", at positions 30 to 507 of the family's 1533-position model. The record is from RNAcentral.